RNAcentral lists this ribosomal RNA (301 nucleotides) under uncultured bacterium. Its description in RNAcentral is "partial 16S ribosomal RNA". It matches the Rfam family "Bacterial small subunit ribosomal RNA", at positions 509 to 809 of the family's 1533-position model. The record is from RNAcentral.
CAGUAGCCGCGGGAAAACGGAGGGUGCAAGCGUUAAUCGGAAUUACUGGGCGUAAAGCGCACGCAGGCGGUUUGUUAAGUCAGAUGUGAAAUCCCCGAGCUUAACUUGGGAACUGCAUUUGAAACUGGCAAGCUAGAGUCUUGUAGAGGGGGGUAGAAUUCCAGGUGUAGCGGUGAAAUGCGUAGAGAUCUGGAGGAAUACCGGUGGCGAAGGCGGCCCCCUGGACAAAGACUGACGCUCAGGUGCGAAAGCGUGGGGAGCAAACAGGAUUAGAUACCCGUGUAGUCCCUGUCUCUUAUAA